GGUAGCGUGGCCGAGUGGUGUAAGGCGCUGGUUUUAAGCACCAGUCAUGAAAGUGGCAUGGGUUCGAAUCCCAUCGCUACCC
Molecule: non-coding RNA, 82 nt
Organism: Xenia sp. Carnegie-2017
Lineage: Eukaryota; Metazoa; Cnidaria; Anthozoa; Malacalcyonacea; Xeniidae
Source: the annotation of a RefSeq genome assembly